This 257-nucleotide ribosomal RNA is filed under the name Salmonella enterica subsp. enterica. RNAcentral's name for it is "partial 16S ribosomal RNA". It matches the Rfam family "Bacterial small subunit ribosomal RNA", at positions 190 to 435 of the family's 1533-position model. Lineage: Bacteria; Pseudomonadati; Pseudomonadota; Gammaproteobacteria; Enterobacterales; Enterobacteriaceae. The record is from RNAcentral.
ACGUCGCAAGACCAAAGAGGGGGACCUUCGGGCCUCUUGCCAUCAGAUGUGCCCAGAUGGGAUUAGCUUGUUGGUGAGGUAACGGCUCACCAAGGCGACGAUCCCUAGCUGGUCUGAGAGGAUGACCAGCCACACUGGAACUGAGACACGGUCCAGACUCCUACGGGAGGCAGCAGUGGGGAAUAUUGCACAAUGGGCGCAAGCCUGAUGCAGCCAUGCCGCGUGUAUGAAGAAGGCCUUCGGGUUGUAAAGUACUU